CCCUUAGACGUUCUGAGCCGCACGCGCGCUACACUGAUGAACGCAACGAGACGACCUGUACCGAAAGGCAUGGGUAAACUUGUGAAAGUUCAUCGUGAUGGGGAUAGAUUAUUGCAAUUAUUAAUCUUCAACGAGGAAUUCCUAGUAAGCGCGAGUCAUCAGCUCGCGUUGAUUACGUCCCUGCCCUUUGUACACACCGCCCGUCGCUCCUACCGAUUGAAUGGUCCGGUGAAAUCUUCGGAUUGCUGGAUAGGAGGGCAACCACCUAUCUGCGAGAAGUUGCUUGAACCUUAUCAUUUAGAGGAAGGAGAAGUCGUAACA
Molecule: ribosomal RNA, 321 nt
Filed under: uncultured eukaryote
Lineage: Eukaryota
Description: partial 18S ribosomal RNA
Rfam family: Eukaryotic small subunit ribosomal RNA
Source: RNAcentral